CUACGGGGCGCUGCAGUGGGGGAUAUUGCACAAUGGGCGAAAGCCUGAUGCAGCAACGCCGCGUGAAGGAAGACGGUUUUCGGAUUGUAAACUUCUAUCAGCUGGGAAGAAAAUGACGGUACCAGACUAAGAAGCCCCGGCUAACUAUGUGCCAGCAGCCGCGGUAAUACAUAGGGGGCAAGCGUUAUCCGGAAUUACUGGGUGUAAAGGGUACGUAGGCGGCUGAUCAAGUCAGAUGUGAAAGCCCGGAGCUCAACUCCGGGAUUGCAUUUGAAACUGGUCGGCUAGAGUGCAGGAGAGGAAAGUGGAAUCCCUAGUGUAGCGGUGAAAUGCGUAGAUAUUAGGAAGAACACCAGUGGCGAAGGCGGCUUUCUGGACUGUAACUGACGCUGAGGUACGAAAGCGUGGGGAGCGAACAGGAUUAGAUACCCUCGUAGUC
RNAcentral lists this ribosomal RNA (439 nucleotides) under uncultured bacterium. RNAcentral describes it as "partial 16S ribosomal RNA". It matches the Rfam family "Bacterial small subunit ribosomal RNA", at positions 339 to 795 of the family's 1533-position model. The record is from RNAcentral.